AACGAACGCUGGCGGCGUGCCUAAGACAUGCAAGUCGAACGAGAAAGCCACCUUCGGUGGCGAGUACAGUGGCGCACGGGUGAGUAACGCGUGGGUAAUCUGCCCUCGGGUCUGGGAUAACCCGGAACUGGAGCUAAUACCGGAUGAGACCACGAGCACCUCGGUGCUCGCGGAAAGGUGGCCUCUCGACGAAGCCACUGCCUGAGGAUGAGCCUGCGUCGCAUAGUCUUGUUGGUGGGGUAACGGCCUACCAAGGC
Molecule: ribosomal RNA, 257 nt
Filed under: uncultured bacterium
Lineage: Bacteria
Description: partial 16S ribosomal RNA
Rfam family: Bacterial small subunit ribosomal RNA
Source: RNAcentral